AGUAACGCGUAGGUAACCUACCUCAUAGCGGGGGAUAACUAUUGGAAACGAUAGCUAAUACCGCAUAAGAGAGACUAACGCAUGUUAGUAAUUUAAAAGGGGCAAUUGCUCCACUAUGAGAUGGACCUGCGUUGUAUUAGCUAGUUGGUGAGGUAAAGGCUCACCAAGGCGACGAUACAUAGCCGACCUGAGAGGGUGAUCGGCCACACUGGAACUGAGACACGGUCCAG
RNAcentral lists this ribosomal RNA (230 nucleotides) under uncultured Streptococcaceae bacterium. Its description in RNAcentral is "partial 16S ribosomal RNA". It matches the Rfam family "Bacterial small subunit ribosomal RNA", at positions 109 to 334 of the family's 1533-position model. The record is from RNAcentral. Lineage: Bacteria; Bacillati; Bacillota; Bacilli; Lactobacillales; Streptococcaceae.